AUUAAUGAGGAGAGGGGAGGAUAUUGCUGCUGCCUGCCCUGCUCUUGUCUCCCACACCUACAGCCCCAAGCCAUCCUGGGAGCCAGCUAGCAAUGCCAGGCUCGAGCUGACUUUUUUGCAUUGUGGUUUGUGAGCUCUUCGUUCCUCUGGUGUUUUCCAGUGAUUUCUGCUCUGGCUAAAGGAAGAUCCACAUCUCUCUACAGCUCUUCACUUCUCCAAACUUAUUCUGGCGACAGCUCCAAACCUCUCUGCCGGCGCUGAUUUCAACAACCUCCUUGCACAGAUGGAAAAGCAAAUGGUUUGAGCUGGGUUUCAUUCCUAUUUUUCUGUGGCAAUCCCGACCAACUGGCGGUGAGUCCAUCUGGCAGGAACCUGAAACACAGCAGCAAGUGCUGUGCUCAAGCACCAUCUGCAAGAUGAGGGCUGGGUGAGGACUCCUUCAGGUCCUUCCCACGAAAGAAGGGAGAUAGAUAAGAUGCAUUUCUACAGAUUCAGUUAAGGAUGGUUGAAUUAGAUGUACAGCAGCAAAAAGCCAAAAGAGAGAAAACACAGUAAAUGGUAAUAAUUGGGCUGAAAAACACCCAUUUGCACCCAGUGGGGUGGGGUGAGUGUGACAGUAGAAGCAUUUAAAGGUUUUUCUUCCUAGUACAAUUUUUGUCUCUGGGCAGAUGUAGCUGGAAGAUAUAACAGUUUAACCCUAUUCCAAAAGCCAGUGGUUGCAGUAGGAAACCACCUACCCUUGGAGUUGAGAUUGGUCUGAAGGGCGAGCAUCUCCUAUCUUACCUAUUUCUAUCUGUGAGCAUCUCCUCAGUUGUUGGGAGGAAUCCUCUGUGUCUUUUUGCUGUUCCAGCUCCUGGCCUGUUUCCUUGUCCCAGAAGUUCAACAUCUCCCCAGCCCAGCAGCUACAGAGUUGAACAAGUCCUUUGGCUAACACUGGUACAAUUUUAUUCUGCAGGUGUGUGUUGGGAGAGUCUGGGGUCAGCAGUGAGGCAUCCUCUGCAUUGUCCAUUAUUUCCUCUCCAAGCCUACUAGAAACAGGUUUGGGGAUCUUCAGCCCCAUUCAGGAUGUCCCAAAAUUCAGUUUUUCUGUCACAGUGAUGAUUUUGGUCACUGUACUGGAGCCAGGAAUUGGGAGAACAGUUUAAAACAACAGGAAAGACCAGGCCAAGCAAUCUGGUAUCUUUUUGAUUUAAUACCCAGAGGGAGCCAGAGCAUCUCCAAGCACAGACACGGUCCCACUGCAGUCCAGCACAGUCCUGCUCUGCCAAGGGACUUGCUUCAGCUGUGUCCCCUCCUUGCUGGUGAGGGCAGGUCCCCCCUGUGCUGCAGCACCAGAGGUGUGAAUUCACAGGUCACCCCACAGCAACUGCUUUUGGUGGCUGGGACACUCAUGAGUGUGAUGUGGCCAGAUCCCUUGCUGGCAUCUUCAGGAGCUUCUGCUCUAAUUUUCCCUCCUCCAAGAGGCUGCUCUGUGCCCCACAAAAUCAGGCUUAUCCCACAAGAGAAGGAUUUAACUUUUUUUCUAGAAAACAACCAGGCAGGUUGCUGCUGUACCUCUGAACCCCCCUGUUCACUGCCUUUGCUCCAGACUCAAUGGUGGCAGGAUCUCCUUUCUGCAGGUUUGCUCCCUCCCAAGCUGUGGCUCAUCCACUGGGGAUCUUUGAUGACCUCCAAGGUCUGGAGGAUGCUGGCCCUGCAGCAGGAAGCACUUUGUGUGCAGGAGCUCAGCUUCCCUGGGGGUGAUACCUGGAGCCAGGUGAGGAUCAGGCCCAGGAUGAGCCCCAGCACGGCAGCAGGACCAGUUCGUGCACUCCUCAGCCCAAAGGCACAGGGUGAUGCCACCUGCACCGAUUUCAGCAAGUUUAGGCACGAGGCUGUGAGGCUCCCAGGCCGGAGGGUGCAGGGUUUGGCACCCAUAGUGGUGAUGAUUCAUUCUGCUCCUGAAAAGGGGUGCAGAGCAAGCACUGCCCCUCAGCACAGCCCCCAACCUCUGCCCAUCGCUGCACGGGCACAUCCCAAAGCCUCAGAGCAAAGGAGUGUGGAGACACAGCAAUGUGCUCCCUUACC
Molecule: long non-coding RNA, 2067 nt
Filed under: Taeniopygia guttata (zebra finch)
Lineage: Eukaryota; Metazoa; Chordata; Aves; Passeriformes; Estrildidae
Description: lncRNA (ENSTGUG00000026173.1)
Source: RNAcentral